CCUACGGGGUGCAGCAGUGGGGAAUAUUGCACAAUGGGGGAAACCCUGAUGCAGCAACGCCGCGUGAGUGAAGAAGUAUUUCGGUAUGUAAAGCUCUAUCAGCAGGGAAGAGAAUGACGGUACCUGACUAAGAAGCCCUGGCUAACUACGUGCCAGCAGCCGCGGUAAUACGUAGGGGGCGAGCGUUAUCCGGAUUUACUGGGUGUAAAGGGAGCGUAGACGGUUCUGCAAGUCUGAAGUGAAAGCCCGUGGCUUAACCGCGGAACGGCUUUGGAAACUGUGGAACUGGAGUGCUGGAGAGGCAAGCGGAAUUCCUAGUGGAGCGGUGAAAUGCGGAGAUAUUAGGAGGAACACCAGUGGCGAAGGCGGCCUGCUGGACUGCGACUGACGUUGAGGCCCGAAAGCGUGGGGAGCAAACAGGAUUAGAUACCCCAGUAGUC
Molecule: ribosomal RNA, 440 nt
Filed under: uncultured bacterium
Lineage: Bacteria
Description: partial 16S ribosomal RNA
Rfam family: Bacterial small subunit ribosomal RNA
Source: RNAcentral